AAGUCAAAGGAAAACGGAUUAUAGCUUGCUAUAAUUGUCAGCUAAGUGGCGCACGGGUGAUUAAUGUCUUUGUAAUAUGCCUCUUACUAAGGAAUAACAAUUGAAAACGAUUGCUAAUACCUUAUACUCCUUAUUAACAAAAUUUAAUAAGGAAAAAAUUUAUUGGUAAAAAAUUACCCUGUAUUGUAUCAUUUAUUUGGUGGGGUAAUGGCUUACC
This 217-nucleotide ribosomal RNA is filed under the name uncultured bacterium. RNAcentral's name for it is "partial 16S ribosomal RNA". It matches the Rfam family "Bacterial small subunit ribosomal RNA", at positions 59 to 269 of the family's 1533-position model. The record is from RNAcentral.